ACGUUCGGGUUCCGCGGGACGGGGCCGCCCCGCGAGGGACGGCGCCGCCCCGGGGCUCGUGAUAUCUCAUCUCGCCGCCCGUCGCGAGGCGGACGGAGGGAUGGAUGAGGUUACCUGGAAAAAUCGGGGCGAUCUAGGCGGGCGAACCUCGCCAACGAACGAUCGGACAUGGGAUAACGGAAGAGGGCGUCGGCUCGACUUCGUCGGUUCCUCGGGCCGAGGCACGUACGGUGAAUAGGGACGGUCGGGGCCGCCCGUACCGGGGUCGUGAGAGGUGAAAAUUCUAGGAUCGACCCGAGACGAACCGCCGCGAAAGCAUUCGGCAAGGACGCUUUCAUUAAUCAAGAACGAAAGUCGGGGGAUCGAAGACGAUCAGAUACCGUCGUAGUCCCGACCGUAAACGAUGCCGACCGAGGGCCCGGAGGAGUUACGUACGACCCUCCGGGCCCUCCCGCGAGAAAUCAGGAGUAUUCGGGUUCCGGGG
RNAcentral lists this ribosomal RNA (484 nucleotides) under uncultured eukaryote. Its description in RNAcentral is "bacterial SSU rRNA". It matches the Rfam family "Eukaryotic small subunit ribosomal RNA", at positions 725 to 1119 of the family's 1831-position model. The record is from RNAcentral.